This 599-nucleotide ribosomal RNA is filed under the name uncultured bacterium. RNAcentral's name for it is "bacterial SSU rRNA". It matches the Rfam family "Bacterial small subunit ribosomal RNA", at positions 338 to 953 of the family's 1533-position model. The record is from RNAcentral.
CCUACGGGAGGCAGCAGUGGGGAAUAUUGGACAAUGGGCGAAAGCCUGAUCCAGCAAUGCCGCGUGAGUGAUGAAGGCCUUAGGGUUGUAAAGCUCUUUUACCUAGGGAUGAUAAUGACAGUACCUGGAGAAUAAGCUCCGGCUAACUCCGUGCCAGCAGCCGCGGUAAUACGGAGGGAGCUAGCGUUGUUCGGAAUUACUGGGCGUAAAGCGUACGUAGGCGGUUAUUCAAGUCAGAGGUGAAAGCCUGGAGCUCAACUCCAGAACUGCCUUUGAAACUAGAUAGCUAGAAUCUUGGAGAGGUGAGUGGAAUUCCGAGUGUAGAGGUGAAAUUCGUAGAUAUUCGGAAGAACACCAGUGGCGAAGGCGACUCACUGGACAAGUAUUGACGCUGAGGUACGAAAGCGUGGGGAGCAAACAGGAUUAGAUACCCUGGUAGUCCACGCCGUAAACGAUGAUAACUAGCUGUUCGGGCUCUACGAGCUUGAGUGGCGCAGCUAACGCAUUAAGUUAUCCGCCUGGGGAGUACGGUCGCAAGAUUAAAACUUAAAGUAGUUAAGUUGGCGUUGNGAGNGCGACGACGACGACGAGAGGAGGAG